This 505-nucleotide ribosomal RNA is filed under the name uncultured bacterium. RNAcentral describes it as "bacterial SSU rRNA". It matches the Rfam family "Bacterial small subunit ribosomal RNA", at positions 36 to 518 of the family's 1533-position model. The record is from RNAcentral.
CUGGCGGCGUGCUUAACACAAUGCAAGUCGAAACGCGAAAGGGACUUCGGUCCUGAGUAAAGUGGCGCACGGGUGAGUAACGCGUAGAUAACCUGUCUUCAUGUCUGGAAUAAUACGCCGAAAGGGGUACUAAUACCGGAUAUUCUUGCUUUUCAUAAGUUAUGCAAGCAAAGGUGGCCUCUGCAUAUGCUACUGCAUGAAGAGGGGUCUGCGUACCAUUAGCUAGUAGGUGGGGUAAUGGCCUACCUAGGCGACGAUGGUUAGCGGGUCUGAGAGGAUGAUCCGCCACACUGGCACUGGAACACGGGCCAGACUCCUACGGGAGGCAGCAGUGAGGAAUAUUGCGCAAUGGGGGAAACCCUGACGCAGCGACGCCGCGUGAGUGAAGGAAGGCCUUCGGGUCGUAAAGCUCUGUCAAGAGGAAAGAAGUGUACAAUGGCUAAUACCUGUUGUAUUUGACGGUACCUCUAAAGGAAGCACCGGCUAACUCCGUGCCAGCAGCGGC